Molecule: long non-coding RNA, 1379 nt
Filed under: Homo sapiens (human)
Lineage: Eukaryota; Metazoa; Chordata; Mammalia; Primates; Hominidae
Description: HSALNT0146390
Source: RNAcentral
CCACAACCAGGGAUAUUUAAUAUUCUUUUUAUGUUGAAUGAAAUGUGCUGAAAUACUGUAACAUAAGAAAACAGCUUUAGUUAAUAAACUAGCUUAUUAAAAUCAAGGGUUUCACUUUGGACUUAAAAUGAUGCCACUUGUAUAUGACACUUUUAAGGCCUCUGCCUCAAAAAUCAGCUUCCUUAUAAGUCUGUUUGGAAACAAGUUUUAAGGAUUGAAUCUUUUAGAAAUUAUCAGGAACGUUCUUUUGAGUUCUCAGCAGGCAUCUCUCCUGGAGAGGAAUCCAUUUGAGACAACUUUAAAGCAGCCUCCAACUCAGGUAGAGAUCCGAAAUUUACACAUGUAUCCAGGAUAGGUGACUGACACUCAUGGAUGAUCCCUGGGUCAGUCUCUGACCUCCAGUCCAACUUAUCUUCCUAAAAGUCCCUGUGCAUUUUCUUCUGUCCCUUCCUUCUGUGAGGAGUGUUCCUGUAAUCAGCUGUCCUGAGGUACCUAGGACCCACAGCUCACAUAUUUUUAGCAUGCUAGGCUAAUAAAUAUGUGUGUUUGAAUAUUAAUUAUCUUUUCACAUUUUCCUUUGAGCAAAGCAGUACUCUAUAAUAUACUCAAGUGAAAUCAGAUAAAGGCUUAGUUCGUGGCCAGGCACAGUGGCUCAUGCCUGUAAUCCCAGCACUUUGGGAGGCCAAGGCAGGUGGAUCGCUUGAGGUCAGGAGUUCAAGAGCAGUCUGGCCAACAUGGCAAAAUCCCAUCUCUACUGAAAAUACAAAAAUUAGCCAGGCAUGGUGGCUCAUGCCUGUAAGUCUGGCUACUCGGGAGGCUGAGACAGGAGAAUCACUUGAACCUGGGAGGUGGAGGCUCCAAGAUCAUGCCACUGCACUGCAGCCUGGGCAACAGAGUGAGACUCUCUUUAAAAAAAAAAAAAAAAAAAAAAAAAAAAAAAACAGAUAAAUGCUUAGUUCACCUUUCGGCCCCUCUUUUUUCAAUAUGACACAUUAACAUCACAGAUGACUUUUCUUGCUUCCCUAUUAUCCUUGAGGGCCCUUAUCUUACAAGGAGACUGUCAGACAGCUCUGGUUAAGGGGGACCAAUGAGGCCAAGGUUCCAAAUACAAGUCUCAGAUGGAUCAAACAGCUUCUCUCUACCCCAUGGGCACAAACUGCAUCUGAACUAUUUUUACUCACAAUGCUUCUGACACCAAAUAUGGGGGCGGGGGGGGUGGUGGGUUCUCACACCAACCAGUUCUCCAACUCUCCAGAUACCAAAUGAGUGUCCCACAAUUCACUUCAAUUCUGACAAUAACUACCCAGAGGUAGUAUCAGACUCUACAGGCUUAAGGGUUCAGUACCACAAAACUACCCCCACUUCCAGACACAAGUCAC